AAUAUUUGACAAUGGGGGCAACCCUGAUCCAGCCAUGCCGCGUGUGUGAAGAAGGUCNNNGGAUUNUCAAGCACUUUAAUUUGNGAGNAAGGGCUUUAGGUUAAUACCCUGAAGUUUUGACGUUACCAACAGAAUAAGCACCGGCUAACUCUGUGCCAGCAGCCUCGGUAAUACAGAGGGUGCAAGCGUUAAUUGGACUUAAUGGGCGUAAAGCGCGCGUAGGUGGUUCAGUAAGAUAGGUGUAAAAUCCCCGGGCUUAACCUGGGAACUGCUUUCAUAACUGCUGAGCUAGAGUACGGUAGAGGGUAGUAGAAUUUCCUGUGUAGCGGUGAAAUGCGUAGAUAUAGGAAGGAACACCAGUGGCGAAGGCGACUACCUGGACUGAUACUGACACUGAGGUGCGAAAGCGUGGGGAGCAAACA
RNAcentral lists this ribosomal RNA (422 nucleotides) under uncultured bacterium. RNAcentral's name for it is "partial 16S ribosomal RNA". It matches the Rfam family "Bacterial small subunit ribosomal RNA", at positions 360 to 774 of the family's 1533-position model. The record is from RNAcentral.